RNAcentral lists this unclassified non-coding RNA (1424 nucleotides) under Stylophora pistillata. Its description in RNAcentral is "solute carrier family 35 member F6-like, transcript variant X1". Lineage: Eukaryota; Metazoa; Cnidaria; Anthozoa; Scleractinia; Pocilloporidae. The record is from RNAcentral.
CAAAAUGGCGACCUUGACUUGCACCCAAAUUCUGUUGGCUAUCGGAAUGCUCAUCUCAGGAUCGAUAAACACCCUGUCAAAGAAAGCACAAAAUGACUGCUCAGCUAAGGGAUUGAAAGAUGAGCAUGGCAAUGAAGUUCACAAAUUUGACCAUCCAUGGUUUCAAACAGGUCUAAUGUUUAUUGGGGAGACCAUGUGUUUGAUUGGUCUCUGCAUUCAUAGAAGAAGAGAAAGACAGAAAUUCAAACAGAAUUUAUUGAAUGUCAAUAGAGAUGAAAUUAGGGAUGGAUCUUCAAUAGAAAUAGCUCAACAACCAAGAGUGUUCCAGUGGAUCUUUGCCUUUCCUACCGUUUGUGAUUUGUUUGGAACCACUUUGGGAGGAAUUGGUCUUCUUUAUGUCAAUGCAUCAGUAUGGCAAAUGCUCAGAGGUUCAAUAAUCAUAUUUACUGGUGUGCUAUCUAAAAUCUUCCUCAAGAGAAAGUUGUGGCCAAUUCACUGGAUUGGAAUGGUUGUUACCAUGCUUGGUUUAGUUCUUGUUGGAUUAUCAAGUGUUCUCAGGGACAACCACCAAGGAGCGUCCCAGGGACAAGUUGUCUUUGGAAUUGUUUUGAUCUUGGCUGGUCAAAGUGUCAGUGCUACACAGAUGAUAGUAGAAGAAUUAUUUCUAAAGAAAAAGAACUUCCAUCCUUUGCAGGUUGUUGGGAUGGAAGGCUUUUUUGGAGUCAUUUUCAUGACUGUUAUAGUCCUGCCAGUGUUGUACUACAUUCCAGGAGAACAAAAUCACCACAGCUAUGAAAACAGUCUUGAUGCUCUGCUGAUGAUCAAGAAUAAUGCUAAAUUGUUGAUUAUGUCAGUUUUAUAUAUCUGCUCUAUUUCAUUUUACAAUUUCUUUGGACUGUCAGUCACAAAGUCUUUAACAGCGGUUCACAGGACGUUAAUAGAUGCAUGCAGAACUAUUGUGGUUUGGCUUGUGGACCUAUUCAUUCACUAUGUCUUUGAUGAGAGUUUUGGUGAAGCUUGGGACAAAAGAUAUGGUAUCUUUCAAGUCGAUGGAUUUCUCUUUUUGAUGCUCGGUACAGCUCUUUAUAAUGAGCUAUUGAUUAUUCCUCCAUUGAUGCCCAAGCCUGAGCCUUCACAGCAGGCUCAAGCCUCUGAUGACCAACAAGAUGAAAGCCUGGACUCAGGCGAGAAUGAACCAUUAUUGAGAGGCCGAGACCAAACAGAACCUUACACAGGGGUUGUAUGAAGAUAUGCCUUGAUUUGAACCAAUCAGAAUAACCCUUUGCAAUUACUUUUGACUUGACGAAAAGAGCGCAUUCCUCAAUAUCGCGGAAAAUCGUCACGAGAUGCAGAAGUACGAUCACUGAACUGCUCUAUUACAUCUCGAUCUGGAUUACGCAUGCUAGAAAUCUUUUCACCAAAGU